RNAcentral lists this ribosomal RNA (525 nucleotides) under Metschnikowia sp. (in: budding yeasts & allies). Its description in RNAcentral is "eukaryotic LSU rRNA". It matches the Rfam family "Eukaryotic large subunit ribosomal RNA", at positions 50 to 657 of the family's 3401-position model. The record is from RNAcentral. Lineage: Eukaryota; Fungi; Ascomycota; Pichiomycetes; Serinales; Metschnikowiaceae.
ACGGAGGAAAAGAAACCAACAGGGAUUGCCUCAGUAACGGCGAGUGAAGCGGCAAAAGCUCAAAUUUGAAAUCCCCCGGGAAUUGUAAUUUGAAGAGAUUUGGGUCCGGCCGGCAGGGGUUAAGUCCACUGGAAAGUGGCGCCACAGAGGGUGACAGCCCCGUGAACCCCUUCAAAGCCUUCAUCCCAGAUCUCCAAGAGUCGAGUUGUUUGGGAAUGCAGCUCUAAGUGGGUGGUAAAUUCCAUCUAAAGCUAAAUACCGGCGAGAGACCGAUAGCGAACAAGUACAGUGAUGGAAAGAUGAAAAGCACUUUGAAAAGAGAGUGAAAAAGUACGUGAAAUUGUUGAAAGGGAAGGGCUUGCAAGCAGACACUUAACUGGGCCAGCAUCGGGGCGGCGGGAAACAAAACCACCGGGGAAUGUACCUUUCGAGGAUUAUAACCCCGGCUCUUUAACUUCCUACUACCUGCCCCGAGGCCUGCAAUCUAAGGAUGCUGGCGUAAUGGCGGCAAGUCGCCCGUCUUAA